This 144-nucleotide unclassified non-coding RNA is filed under the name soil metagenome. RNAcentral describes it as "partial internal transcribed spacer 1". The record is from RNAcentral.
UAAUAAGUGUUUUAUGGCACUUUUUAAAUCCAUAUCCACCUUGUGUGCAAUGUCGGUCGAUCUUCUUCAUGGAGAUCGACCAAACAUCAACCUUUAUUUUUAACUCUUUGUCUGAAAAAUAUUAUGAAUAAACAAUUCAAAAUA